UGAAUAGGGCGAUUCAGUCGCAUGUCCUAGACCCGAAGCGAAGUGAUCUAUCCAUGGCCAGGUUGAAGCGACGGUAAGACGUCGUGGAGGACCGAACCCACUUGGGUUGAAAACCGAGGGGAUGAGCUGUGGAUAGGGGUGAAAGGCCAAUCAAACUUCGUGAUAGCUGGUUCUCUCCGAAAUGCAUUUAGGUGCAGCGUUGCGUGUUUCUUGCCGGAGGUAGAGCUACUGGAUGGCCAAUGGGCCCUAAAAGGUUACUGACGUCAGCCAAACUCCCGAAUGCCGGUAAGUAAGAAGCGCAGCAGUGAGACGGUGGGGGAUAAGCUUCAUCGUCGAGAGGGAAACAACCCAGACUACCGACUAAGGUCCCAAAGCGUGUGCUAAGUGGAAAAGGAUGUGGAGUUGCAUAGACAACCAGGAGGUUGGCUUAGAAGCAGCCACCCUUGAAAGAGUGCGUAAUAGCUCACUGGUCAAGUGAUUCCGCGCCGACAAUGUAACGGGGCUCAAGCACACCACCGAAGUCGUAGCAUUCAAACUAUAGGUAGGCCUUCGUGGUCCAGCCGUGUGAAUGGGUAGGAGAGCGUCGUGUGGCGAGCGAAGCGGCGGAGUGAUCCAGCCGUGGACGCCACACGAGUGAGAAUGCAGGCAUGAGUAGCGAAAGACGGGUGAGAAACCCGUCCUCCGGAAGACCAAGGGUUCCAGGGCCAGGCUAAUCCGCCCUGGGUAAGUCGGGACCUAAGACGAGGCCGACAGGCGUAGUCGAUGGACAACGGGUUGAUAUUCCCGUACCCGCGAAGAACCGCAAGAGCUAAACCAGUAAUGCUAAGAGUCCGAAUUCUCUUUCUGAUCCCUUCGGGGUGAGGAUUGAGAGCUAGCACUCGACCCUAUGCUGGCGCGGCUAGCGUAUUAACAGGUGUGACGCAGGAAGGUAGCUGAGCCGGGCGAUGGUUGUCCCGGUGUAAGGAUGUAGGGCGAGGAAUAGGCAAAUCCGUUCCUCACGAAGCCUGAGAUCCGACGCGUACCCCUCACGGGGGAAAUCAGUGAUCCUAUGCUGCCGAGAAAAGCAUCGACGCGAGGUUCUAGUGGCCCGUACCCCAAACCGACUCAGGUGGUCAGGUAGAGAAUACUAAGGAGAUCGAGAGAAUCGUGGUUAAGGAACUCGGCAAAAUGCCCCCGUAACUUCGGGAGAAGGGGGGCCGGAUUGGUGAAGGGAUUUACUCCUGGAGCUAUGAAGGCCGCAGAGACCAGUGGGAAGCGACUGUUUACUAAAAACACAGGUCCGUGCUAAGUCGCAAGACGAUGUAUACGGACUGACGCCUGCCCGGUGCUGGAAGGUUAAGAGGAGCGGUUAGCACUUGUGCAAAGCUGCGAAUUUAAGCCCCAGUAAACGGCGGUGGUAACUAUAACCAUCCUAAGGUAGCGAAAUUCCUUGUCGGGUAAGUUCCGACCUGCACGAAUGGCGUAACGACUUCCCAGCUGUCUCAACCGCGAACUCGGCGAAAUUGCACUACGAGUAAAGAUGCUCGUUACGCGCAGCAGGACGGAAAGACCCCGUGACCUUUACUACAGCUUUGUAUUGGUGUUCGGUGUGGCUUGUGUAGGAUAGGUGGGAGACUUUGAAGCGGACACGCCAGUGUUUGUGGAGUCAUUGUUGAAAUACCACUCUGGUCACUCUGGAUAUCUAACUUCGAACCGUAAUCCGGUUCAGGGACAGUGCAUGGUGGGUAGUUUAACUGGGGCGGUUGCCUCCCAAAAAGUAACGGAGGCGCCCAAAGGUUCCCUCAGCCUGGUUGGCAAUCAGGUGGCGAGUGUAAGUGCACAAGGGAGCUUGACUGUGAGACUGACAGGUCGAGCAGGGACGAAAGUCGGGACUAGUGAUCCGGCAGUGGCUUGUGGAAGCGCUGUCGCUCAACGGAUAAAAGGUACCUCGGGGAUAACAGGCUGAUCUUGCCCAAGAGUCCAUAUCGACGGCAUGGUUUGGCACCUCGAUGUCGGCUCGUCGCAUCCUGGGGCUGGAGUAGGUCCCAAGGGUUGGGCUGUUCGCCCAUUAAAGCGGUACGCGAGCUGGGUUUAGAACGUCGUGAGACAGUUCGGUCCCUAUCCGCUGCGCGCGUUGGAAAUUUGAGAGGAUCUGACCCUAGUACGAGAGGACCGGGUUGGACGAACCUCUGGUGUGUCAGUUGUCCUGCCAAGGGCACCGCUGAUUAGCUACGUUCGGGAUGGAUAACCGCUGAAAGCAUCUAAGCGGGAAGCCGGCCUCAAGAUGAGAUUUCCAUGCCCUUCGGGGCGAGAGGCUCCCAGUAGACGACUGGGUUGAUAGGCCGGAUGUGGAAGUGGGGACUAAAGACCCAUGAAGCUGACCGGUACUAAUAAGCCGAUAACUUGACAC
This 2389-nucleotide ribosomal RNA is filed under the name metagenome. Its description in RNAcentral is "bacterial LSU rRNA". It matches the Rfam family "Bacterial large subunit ribosomal RNA", at positions 684 to 2925 of the family's 2925-position model. The record is from RNAcentral.